GCGGGUAUCGUAUAAUGGCUAUUACCUCAGCCUUCCAAGCUGAUGAUGCGGGUUCGAUUCCCGCUACCAGCUCCA
RNAcentral lists this transfer RNA (75 nucleotides) under Escherichia coli. RNAcentral's name for it is "tRNA-Gly". It matches the Rfam family "tRNA". Rfam says of the family: Transfer RNA (tRNA) molecules are approximately 80 nucleotides in length. Their secondary structure includes four short double-helical elements and three loops (D, anti-codon, and T loops). Lineage: Bacteria; Pseudomonadati; Pseudomonadota; Gammaproteobacteria; Enterobacterales; Enterobacteriaceae. The record is from RNAcentral.